Molecule: ribosomal RNA, 493 nt
Filed under: uncultured bacterium
Lineage: Bacteria
Description: partial 16S ribosomal RNA
Rfam family: Bacterial small subunit ribosomal RNA
Source: RNAcentral
ACGAACGCUGGCGGCGUGCUUAACACAUGCAAGUCGAACGGAAAGGCCUGCUUUCCCUUGUGGAUUGCGGGUGCUCGAGUGGCGAACGGGUGAGUAACACGUGAGUGAUCUGCCCCCAACUUGGGUAUAAGCCUGGGAAACUGGGUCUAAUUCCCGAUAGGACUGCAGGGUGGUGCCUGUGGUGGAAAACGAUUUUCUAGUGGUUGGGGAUGAGCUCGCGGCCUAUCAGCUUGUUGGUGGGGUAAUGGCCUACCAAGGCGGCGACGGGUGGCCGGCCUGAGAGGGUGGACGGCCACAUUGGGACUGAGAUACGGCCCAGACUCCUACGGGAGGCAGCAGUGGGGAAUAUUGCACAAUGGGCGGAAGCCUGAUGCAGCGACGCCGCGUGGGGGAUGACGGCCUUCGGGUUGUAAACUCCUUUCGACCGCGAGGAAGCCACCUGGUUGGAAGGGUGGUGACGGUAGUGGUAGAAGAAGCACCGGCUAACUACGUG